ACUUUUAAAGGAAAGCAGAUAUCCGAUGGCCUUAGGAGUCAAGAUCCUUGGUGCA
Molecule: transfer RNA, 55 nt
Filed under: Chamaeleo dilepis (flapneck chameleon)
Lineage: Eukaryota; Metazoa; Chordata; Lepidosauria; Squamata; Chamaeleonidae
Description: partial tRNA-Leu
Source: RNAcentral